RNAcentral lists this transfer RNA (78 nucleotides) under Formosa sp. Hel3_A1_48. Its description in RNAcentral is "tRNA-Met(cat)". It matches the Rfam family "tRNA". From Rfam's summary of the family: Transfer RNA (tRNA) molecules are approximately 80 nucleotides in length. Their secondary structure includes four short double-helical elements and three loops (D, anti-codon, and T loops). Further hydrogen bonds mediate the characteristic L-shaped molecular structure. tRNAs have two regions of fundamental functional importance: the anti-codon, which is responsible for specific mRNA codon recognition, and the 3' end, to which the tRNAs corresponding amino acid is attached (by aminoacyl-tRNA synthetases). tRNAs cope with the degeneracy of the genetic code in two manners: having more than one tRNA (with a specific anti-codon) for a particular amino acid; and 'wobble' base-pairing, i.e. permitting non-standard base-pairing at the 3rd anti-codon position. The record is from RNAcentral. Lineage: Bacteria; Pseudomonadati; Bacteroidota; Flavobacteriia; Flavobacteriales; Flavobacteriaceae.
UGGUCCCAUAGCUCAGUUGGUUAGAGCAUCUGACUCAUAAUCAGAGGGUCCUUGGUUCGAGCCCAAGUGGGACCACCC